Anser brachyrhynchus (Pink-footed goose) is the source of this 1676-nucleotide long non-coding RNA. NCBI's taxonomy places the organism in Eukaryota, Metazoa, Chordata, Aves, Anseriformes, Anatidae. The record is from Ensembl.
ACACUGAAGGAGUUUAUUUCUUUUGAUUGCUUUACCACCCACCUUCUAGUGAUCAGGAGAUGGAGCAACCUACUUGUUUGCAGGAAUAUGUGGUAGCCAGGAUGAGGAAAAAAGGCCGGGCUCACCUCUUUGCUUGUGGUCAGCCUGCUCCAGUUAUGUCUGGAGGACUUGGGGACCAAGCUAAUGAAUCCAGAGGCAGCAGCCCGCCAGUACUGGGACUCGGCUCUGCCAUAUACCUAUUCCUACUUGCAGCUGUGCAAGUUUAUCGCAAAUUAUAACGUAGUUGAUAAAUGACUCUGUAUCUCUUUCCCCUGUUGGAACCAAGGUAAUUUUGGAAGCAGAAAUUGCAAGAACACCACCAAGAUGAGUCUUUUCCCACUGACAGGUGCACUAAAGCUGGCUUGAGAAGAAUUUCAAGCCUGAGAGACCUUCAGAUACCCGCAGUUCAGCCUCUGCUUUCAUCUGCUCAUGGGGAACAGGUCUUCUGGACUAGGCUUUGUGAGCCUAAGUUUGUGUUUACUAGCUCUGACAUGAGUUUAGUUUAUACAGCUGUUCUGGGUUGAUAAAUGCUCUGUAAGCAAAGGGAUGUGCUGGGGGUCUAAUUCCUUCAGAUUUAGUGAAGUCUGUGUGGGAGCUCAUUGUUCUACUGGAGGAGAUGCUGCCUUUGCAGCUCAGCUGAGGUCCAGGAUUGUGUGCACAGAUUUUUUUCUGAUUUUACACAUGAUGAGGAUGACAGUUCAAACCGGUUUUCAUGGCAUGUAAUGAGUUUUCAAAUAUACAAAAUAUACAACUAUGGUACGCAAGCUGGGAGAUUUCUAUGGCUACAGAACCCUAUGAAAAGUAGCCUUGCUAUUCUUCAGCGUGGCAGGUUUAUUUGAAUAAAACCAACAAGAGGCAGCAGGUGCUGCUUUGCAUCUGAAGCAGCGUGAGGAAAUGCAUUGAGUGGAUUGCAUCUAGCUGACCUGGGAACAAAGAAAACAAGUGGCCAGAGGAGCCUGAGGCCGGAAAGACAAUGGGAGAGGCCUGCAGGAGCUGGUUCUUCCACACCCACAGCCUGUUGUAGUCUUAAGCUGACGAAACAAGGAAACUUUGAAGAAAACAGGGGGAUUGGUAGCCUUGAGCUAGCAGAAGCAAGCGAGAUCGGUGUUGGAGGGGAGCACGCCAGAGACCGAGCGCGCACUUGUGAUUUUAUCGGGGUCCGGCCUACACUCUCCGAAAGCCCGGGGCCGGCGAGUGGCACAGCGGCACAACGCCCUGAGGAAACUACCGAACGUCUGGGGGUCAAGGGGGACGUCACUGGACUGGUGAGUACGAUUUAUAUCUUCCCGUGGGUUUUUGGAGUGCGGAUUGUCAGUCUCACACGUAGGCACUGUGGUUUGGCAAGAAUAGGACACGGCCCUGUGAGCUACCUGACCUGAUCGGUGGGUUAAAGUCAAAGCUGAGCGUGAGCAGCCGCUGCAGGGAACAUGGGAAGCAGUCAGUCCAGAAUCCCUUCCUCCCCUCUUGGAUGCAUCCUUAAAAAUUGGUCAAAAUUUGGUGGUGAUUAUAGGACAAAGGGUAAAAUUAGGCAAUAUUGUAAUCAGGAGUGGCCUCAAUACAAACUGGAUGAUAUGGAACAAUGGUCAGAAAAUGGAUCCUUCAAUUAUAAUACUAUAUUGCAGUUAAUGUUAUUUUGC